This is a long non-coding RNA of Dermacentor albipictus, 787 nucleotides long. RefSeq lists it as uncharacterized. The record is from RefSeq and is a predicted model, not a curated record. NCBI's taxonomy places the organism in Eukaryota, Metazoa, Arthropoda, Arachnida, Ixodida, Ixodidae.
GCGGUAUUUGGCUUGCUUUGGCUUUGCCAGCACCGGAACGCAUGUUUCAUUUGGCGCCAGAGCUGCUGCACCACAGUUCAUCGCGCUCUAGCUUGGCUGGCCGGCCUAUAGUUCGGCUGCAACGAAGAGAUUGCGCUGAGUUAGCGCUUUUGCAAACAAAGAAAUAUAAAAACGCUGGGUUGCAGCGUUUGUGAGCGCAUGCGCUGAGGCAGCUGCUCAUCGCCGCGCCGAUGCGAGCCACGUGAAACACGCCGAACUGUACAAUGGACCAAAGUUUCGGUGAUCCUGGCGUCGUUGGCGUGACCUAUCCGACCACACCGGCCGCUGCCUUGCACGUUGGAAGCGCAGGGCCCAAGACACGGAAUGUCAAGUUGGGCUUGUCACGUCGUGUACUGGCGUGGUGUGAAGAAUCUUUUCAGAGAGCUGGUGCACACAGGAAGGAAGACGGCCCCAGGAAUUAGAUGAGGGAGUUUCUCGCCACAAUUGCCACAUAGCAAGCCGUUGCAUGGAACGGGCGGCGAAAGGCACUGCACUAAAGUUAUGGACAAUGAAGCAAGGGUUACAGGUGGCACGCAUUCAUAGUGCCACCUGAAUACAGCCACCCAACUCCUGCUGCGCCUCCUCCUCCUGCCGCACAGCCAGGUCCAUGAUUGCCACCUGAUGAGCUAGAGCAACCACACUCGGAAGAUGGGUUCAGAGAACGCAGGCAUAUUAUUCGUUACAAUUCUCUCUAAGAACACAUAAACAGCACUGCUAUCGAAGGAAAAUUAUUGUUAUUGCAAGUGCU